GGGUUGUGAGGUUAAGCGACUAAGCGUACACGGUGGAUGCCCUGGCAGUCAGAGGCGAUGAAGGACGUGCUAAUCUGCGAAAAGCGUCGGUAAGGUGAUAUGAACCGUUAUAGCCGGCGAUGUCCGAAUGGGGAAACCCAGUGCAAUUCGUUGCAYUAUCGUUAAGUGAAUACAUAGCUUAACGAGGCGAACCGGGGGAACUGAAACAUCUAAGUACCCCGAGGAAAAGAAAUCAACCGAGAUUCCCCCAGUAGCGGCGAGCGAACGGGGAGCAGCCCAGAGUCUGAAUCAGCUUGUGUGUUAGUGGAACGGUCUGGAAAGUCCGACGGUACAGGGUGAUAGUCCCGUACACCAAAAUGCACAGGUUGUGAACUCGAUGAGUAGGGCGGGACACGUGGUAUCCUGUCUGAAUAUGGGGGGACCAUCCUCC
Molecule: ribosomal RNA, 430 nt
Filed under: Citrobacter amalonaticus
Lineage: Bacteria; Pseudomonadati; Pseudomonadota; Gammaproteobacteria; Enterobacterales; Enterobacteriaceae
Description: bacterial LSU rRNA
Rfam family: Bacterial large subunit ribosomal RNA
Source: RNAcentral